CGGAAGUCUAACAUAUGAAUUUUAACUCUAGCCUCAGCUCCGUCCCGUCAGCACCAGCCAGCCAACCUGAAAACAUUUGAAAGUAUUUUUGGGCUAAGUACUAAUGUACUUAGUGGGCAUGCAUUUUCAUAAACAUUUCAUAUUUUCGUAAGAGCAGUUUAUCCAAUUAUACUUGACAUGACUUAGAAGGUUUUAAAAUGAAAGAAGUACUUCUAAGCAUGUUAAAACAUUUUUCAUUUGUGCGCACAUGUCACACUCCCUUUCUGUUACUCGCUGUGAUCCCGGACCUCUAGCCACCGACGGAUCCAUUUCUCCCAUUGCACUUGCCCUGAGGACGUAACUCAGACAAGUUGAAUUGACCUCGGGACGCUACCCAGGCAGGCCUUACAUGAUACAUGCUCCGGAACACAUCCAGCCAAGCACCCUUAUAACGCCUCUUACAUGAAUUAGUGCCCGAUGGAGAUCAACCCACCGAAACAACUAACAAGUGUACACAAUUCUCAAAUAGCGUGUUAGGCCAUAAGAGAACCUCGAUCGAUCCAUGAAUUGCGAGCCUUAAACAGAGCAGAGUGCACAUAAACAUUUUAUUGGAUAAACAGUUUUCAUUUCAUUAAAUAAACAGUUUGCAUUUCAUUGAAACAUUUAGAGCUUAAUAACUCAAUCAUACUUUGUACAUUUGGAAAGUAAGCCCACCUGGUUAGGCAAAGCCUGAAGAUCAUAAUCACAUAUAAACCUGUCUUGGGAAAGCAGCGCUAAUCCCCCCUGGUCACAAAGCCUACAAGAAAUUCUAUUCUUAAUAGGUCUCGUGAAGCUAAUCUUAAGUCAUGGUGUAGUGCUUAAUAUUCUAUGAUUCACUUAGCCGGGUUUUCAAAAUUUAAUGAAUAAAUAAUUAAAAACAUUUCUCUUGAGUUAAGAACACCAACAAUAUUCUUACUCAUCUUUUUUUAAUAAUUGGAAUUAUAAUUAAAACCAAUUAAAUCGUAAAUACUUUUUAUUGUAAAAUGCUAAUGCAAUUUCAUGACAUGCUUAAACAUAUAAUAAAUAAUUACACUUAAAAUAUGCAAAUAAUAAUAAUAUAAUAUUAUUAUGCAAAUCAUCUUUAAAUAAAUAAUCAAAUUAAUAUGAUAGUCUAAUUAAAUAAAAUGGUAGAGUCCCUUUAAAUAAAAAUCUGCACAGCCCAAGUUAAUUAAACAAUAAUAGGGCCCAUCUGAUAAAUAAAUUAAAAACUAGCCCACACAGAAGCCCAACAGCCCAACUAACUCGGCCCAAAACUCAAAACCUAGCCCAACACCUUCUUUUCUUCUUCCUCACCCCACGCUGAUUCUUUUCUUCUUCUCAAAUCUCUCUCUCACGGUUCCUCACCAAAUCCGCCACACACACCACGCUGAUCUCUCUCUCACGAGCUCCGCCGCCACGGAAUUCGCCGGAGGAGCAGCGGCGAUAGGCCGCGCCACCCUCGGCUCUCCCUUCACUCACCGAAACCCGGCGCCCCUGUAACGCCCCCCCUUCCCCCUUUUUCUCGCGUGGUCAGACACGCAACACACACAAGCACAGACGGCGGUGCACACAGGCCCCGGCCGCCAUCUCCCUCCGGCGAACUGACAGCGGUAAGCCGCCGUGCCGUUUCAGAACCCAGACCCCAAACCACGACCGCUCUCUCUCAGCCCCCAAAGUCCAGAUCGAAAAUUCACCCCUCCCCUCUUCUCCUUCGGCCACCGUGACCAGCCACCAGGUGUCGCCACCCUCGACUCCCUCGACUUUCUCUCUUUUCUCUCUGGAUCGACGGGCAGCAGCUAAGCCACCAUCACCGGUACCCUCCACUCUCUCUCAUCUCCUUCUACCCUUCGCAACGUCAAGGCGCUGCUGCCCCCCUGCAACUGCCCUAGGUUCCCAAAAUCAGACGCCACCCUUUCCUGUCUAUACCACUCAGUUUUCCGGCGACAGUAUAGCUACCAGGCCACUGCCGCCGUUCUCUCAUCCCUCUGCUCAACUCCGGUCGAUAGCAGCAGCCAAUCAGCUGCCACUAUCGCCGCCGUCUGCUGGCCCGACAACCCACUCGGACUAAAACAGGACACGCGCAACAUGAAACCAAGAUUUCUCCAAUUUGUUGUAUUCAAAACAGGGAGCAAGAUUUGAUUUUUCUUUGCUUUUGAUUAUCUAGAUUCAUGGCUUUGUUUGAAAAUAUAGCAUAUUAGAUGAAUUCUCUUAUUCAUUCUAUGCACACGAAUAUAUAUACACACAUGAGUGAAUGAGUUGCUUUCAUUUGAUUGAGUGUGUUUGGUUAGUGCUCUGUGAAACAAGAAGAGAUGUGCUUGAAUGAAAAGUCAAAUAAAGUUGAGAUAAACCUUAUAGUGUUCUGUGUAGGAACGAAUGGUUAGUGAAUCUGAUGUUGUUGAACUUCUGGAGAUAGAGAUGUGCAUUGAAUUUCUUCCUUGCGAGAAAGAGAUUGUGAAAGAUUUUGUGAAAUAAGGUAGGAAUAAAUUGAUUUGAGCAUAGGAUAUGGCUUUGCGGACAAGAGUGAGCAUAGGAUAUGGCUUUGUGGGUGGAAAGAGUGAGUGUAAAGUGGGUGGAAAGAGUGGGUGU
This 2583-nucleotide long non-coding RNA is filed under the name Salvia miltiorrhiza (redroot sage). RNAcentral's name for it is "long non-coding RNA (SMIL_LNC001703)". The record is from RNAcentral. Lineage: Eukaryota; Viridiplantae; Streptophyta; Magnoliopsida; Lamiales; Lamiaceae.